This is a long non-coding RNA of Alosa sapidissima (American shad), 292 nucleotides long. RefSeq lists it as uncharacterized. The transcript is spliced from 3 exons. The record is from RefSeq and is a predicted model, not a curated record. Lineage: Eukaryota; Metazoa; Chordata; Actinopteri; Clupeiformes; Clupeidae.
GCCAACUCUCUAUCAAAACGUAAGGGGGCCAGAUAAGACUACAACAUUCGUUACCUCCAUUUCUCUGGCUAGCCUUCCACUAGCCUACUUUCAGGCAUGCACGGGCAUGCAUAGUUCAAUUAAAUCUGGCUCAUGAAACGAAAUGCUAUUUAGAAGGCUCUUGAGUGUAUUCUGCCACACAUACAAUUGUUAUUUAGAAGAAGAAUGUUGCAGCAAGUAGCCUAGAAGCUCAUCUAUCUAAUCUGAUGAAAAGUGCUGCCUUCCCUAACGCAGCUAGACCCAGAUUAAAUGU